UCCUCAUUUCACGUGCUCUCUCAGCGGUCAGAAUGACGAGAAAGUGUGUGAAAUGAAGAGA
Pristionchus pacificus is the source of this 61-nucleotide non-coding RNA. Lineage: Eukaryota; Metazoa; Nematoda; Chromadorea; Rhabditida; Neodiplogasteridae. The record is from Rfam.